Long non-coding RNA from Myotis myotis, 1427 nucleotides. RefSeq lists it as uncharacterized. The transcript has 3 exons. The record is from RefSeq and is a predicted model, not a curated record. Lineage: Eukaryota; Metazoa; Chordata; Mammalia; Chiroptera; Vespertilionidae.
UUUCUUGAAUAAAUACUCCUAGGAUUACUGCAAGCCUUUGGUUAAUUUCCAGGGAUCUGAAAAAGUUGGUUCUGAUAAUUUUUGCAAGUUUUCUUAUUGCUUUUAUGGAGGAGAGAAUUUAUGGAGGUCCUUAGUCCACUAUUUUUUACUGACACUACCCUUGUGUUAGUAACAUUUUUUAGCCUUAAUCUGAAUGAUAUUAAAAAUUUUGUCAUGUCUUUGUUGCUUUUAAGAUAUCAUACAUCUGCAUCAUUUUCCUUGUGUGUCAACUACGUGAAUCCUGUUAAAGGAGGAAAUGAGGAUUUUUCCAAGAACUUACGGAAAGCUACUGAGUGAGCCGUUUGUAGAAUAGGAAAAGCAGUUUUGCUCUUGCAGACACUAGAUAGCACUUCAACACUGCACCUGGGGGCUGUUUUAAACAGUGAAAUUACCAACAAAAACCACAAAAAUGCAAAUAACAUGGCACUAAAUAGACAGAAGAAGGACACUUGUUGACAGUAUGAGAGCUGAACUGUGAAGGCAGAUGUUGCCUAAUUCAACCUCCACUGAACACGUAUAUGUUGGACGACUCAAAAACUUUCCUGCUCUUUGCACGUCCUUGAAUAACCAUAAAAUACCUUGGGUAUUGAUUUGGAGGGUGAGAAAAUAAAUUUUUAUCUAGUAAAAUUUGCAAAUACAGAGUCUGCGAAUAAUAGUUUCAUUUGGUGUGACUAGUAUCUUUUCCAAGCAGUGGAGGGGCCUUCCCUGUAUUACCCUGUGGUCUGCAAUGACUUGAUAUUAUCAGGCUGACACUUGUCAUCUCCUUUUGGGACUUAGCGUUGCCUACUGUUUUUGACCAUAGUUCUAUUCAGCUUCUUCUGCCUUUGGUUUAUGUCCCUUUGGAGCCCAAGCUCAUCUUGCACAGUCAUAUUCUUCCUCAGGUAACUUUUUCCCCCUCUAUUUCUUGGGAUCAUCUGCACUUGCAUCGUUAGAAUUUCACCCUGGGGGCUCUUCUGAAGUUCAUUUGAACCAUCUUUCUUCUUAGCAUCCCUGGACAAUGGACAUAGCCUUUGAAUCUCAAAGUGUUUUGAGUCUGCUUUCCUAAAGUUUGGGUUUUCAAGUGGAGGUGCACAUCUAAGUCACCUGUGGGGUUUUUAAAACACAGUGACAUUGGCCUUGCCCCAAACCAACUGAGUCAACAAUUGCAAAGGGGUGUAGUCUAUGUAUAGAUGUGUUUAAAAACUUUCCACAGGUAAUUCUGAUCUGUGGGUGGGGAGGGGUUUGCGAGCCAGUUGUAUUGAGAGCUGUGGUAAAGUUGACAAUGGUUAAAAUGAUAACCAUCAAAACUACCACCAUCAACGUUUAUGGUACCUUUACCAGGUGUCAGGCUCCUUAUUAAGCUGUUUGUAUGUUUUAAUACAAUCCCUGGGCAUAGAUACAUGCUUUGA